This is a long non-coding RNA of Homo sapiens (human), 1609 nucleotides long. Ensembl annotates it as mir-100-let-7a-2-mir-125b-1 cluster host gene. Its record names the gene MIR100HG. The record is from Ensembl. Lineage: Eukaryota; Metazoa; Chordata; Mammalia; Primates; Hominidae.
GCCAGUAAAGAUUAAAUGUGCUUCUCAAAGGCAGCCACUUCAUGCUGCUAUGUCGAAAGGGCCAUUAUUAUUAUUAUAUUUUAAUGGUAAAAGAGAAAAGGAGAGAGGUUGAGCGAGCGAGAGAGAAGCUAGGUGUGAUGAUGACAGACUAGCUUUUCUGAGAGGAAAAGGAAAAGGGAAGGGAGAGAAAAAGGAGAGCCUCUGAGCUCAACGGAGGAUUGUGCCUGAGAAGAACCCACAGAGAUACAGUUAAGCUAAUGAUCUCGAGAGGAUAUCGUCCUGGAUAAGGGUGGAGCCUACGCCCAAAAACAAGAUUACCUGAAAGAGAAAAGAAAGGGGGAAAACACACAGAGAUACAGUCGGGGAGGCCACAUGAAGAUGGAGGCAGAGACAGGAGUGAUGAGCCUGCAAGCCAAGGAAUGCCAAGGGCUGCCAGCAGCCAUGAGAAGCUGAGAGACACAGAGAACGAGUCCUCUGCCAGAGCCUCCAGAAGGAACUAACCCUGUCAAUACCUUGAUUUCGGACUUCUGGACUCCAGAACUAUAACCCUCCUUCCUCCACCUCACAAAAACUCACAAGCUGCAACCCUUCUGAUGUCCACUCCCACACAAACCAGCUUCAGGCCUUUUUCAAGAGUGCAGGAAAUUCUACCCCCCAAGUAUGGCACCUUGGCAUGCUGAGUAUUUUAAGCUGAAGGAAACAGAGAAAACCACAGAAGCAGAAAGGUCUUUCUGACCUCUCUUGAAGACCCUCAUGUGACAGGUGUCCUGCCCUACAUCCAGAGAGAAGGAAUGUUCCACAGACAGACUAAGAAGAAUCUGAAGAAUCAGGCCUUACUAAGUGCCCUCCAGCUCUGAUGUAGAUGGGAUGGAAUUCCAAGUGCUGGGAAUACUUCUAGCAGCUAAAGUUAAGAGCGUACCAGAUGUGUUCGAGAACCUUGAGUUGAUCUGAAAAGAGAAUCUGCUCAAGGAGAAAACAAUUGGAUGCUGUGGGGCACCACCUCCUUGAGGACCAAGGCACUCCAGCUGCCAGGAAUUUGGCUGCUAACCUCACACAGCUGAGCCUUCCAUGAAAAUUGCUCUCUGCCAAAGAGAACUUCCUAGUCCAAGGUCAUGUCUACUCUCCAGAGAUGUGACUGGAGUGAUUUGCACCCGGAUGCCUAGACUCGCCAUCUGCUCAAAGACUGCUCAGAAAGCCCUCCCAUGCAUUCCCCUGCUGCAUACCAGCCCACUCUGCCUGCAGCUGCUGUCUGCAGGACUUCAUAUCUAUGCCACACUGUGUAAAAGCUGUGCUUCAAGAAAUCACAAAAACAUUUUCCUGCACCUACUACACAGCCUGAGUGCGGCAUAAGUUGACCUUGCUUGCUAAGAAAUGGGGCAAGAAAUGCUUUUUUGUGUGUGUCAUGUCUGUUUGUUUUUCAAUUAAGAGAGGAAAGCAUUAGGCAGAUGGAAUGUACAUGUGAGGAUGAGGAGACAGAAAACAAGUAGCCCUUUCCAUCAAGAUAGAGGGUUUUCUGGGGUUGCUGGCUAUUGAAUGUCACUCCUGAUUUCUCUUUCCAAGGCACUGUACCACCAGCCUACUGAGAUUGUGUGGGAGCUUUCAUGGGGGU